Non-coding RNA from Pelobates cultripes (western spadefoot toad), 81 nucleotides. NCBI's taxonomy places the organism in Eukaryota, Metazoa, Chordata, Amphibia, Anura, Pelobatidae. The record is from the annotation of a GenBank genome assembly.
CUCCAGAUGUUGCUGAAUUACAACUCCCAUGAGCCUAUGAAUUAAAAAGAUAGGGGAGUUGUAGUUCAGCAACAUCUGGAG